GGUUUUGGGGAAUUUUUGGGGAUUUUUUUGGGAUUUUUGGGAUUUUUUGGGGGAUUUUUUGGGGGAUUUUUUGAUUUUUUCGGGGAAUUUUUUUUGGAUUUUUGGGGGAUUUUUGGGAUUUUUUGGGGGAUUUUUUGGGGAUUUUUUGGGGGAUUUUUGGAUUUUUUGGGGGAUUUUUUUUUUGAUUUUUGGGGGAUCUUUGGGAUUUUUUUUGGGUUUUUGGGGGAUUUUUGGGAUUUUUUGGGGGAUUUUUAUGGGAUUUUUGAGGGAAUUUUUUUGGAUUUUUGGGGAAUUUUUGGGGGAUUUUUGGGGAUUUUUUUUGGGAAUUUUCUGUGAAUUCUUGGAAUUUUUGGGGGAUUUUUUUGGGAUUUUUUUGGGACUUUUUGGGGAUUUUUGGGGGAAUUUUAGGGAUUUCUUUUGGGAAUUUUUAGGGAAAUUUUUUGGGAAUUUUUGGGAAUUUUUUGGGGGGAAUUUUGGGAGGAUUUUGGGGAUUUUUGGGAAUUUUUUGGGGGGAAUUUUGGGAAUUUUUGUGAAUUUUUUGGGGGGAAUUUUGGCCGUUUUUGGGGUGAUUUUGUGGGGAUUUUUGGCCAUCCCAGAAUUUAAAUGAAUUUUAACCCUUCCGUGGCCGGGAAUCCCGGGGGAAUCCCUGGAAUUCCGGGAAUUCCGAGCCAUUCCCAAAGCUUUUCCCGGUUUUUCCCCCCAGGUCUCGGCCCGGGAGCGCCGGGAGCGGCUCCAGGAGAAAUCGCGGCUGAGCCGGAGCCUCCUCCCGCUGCUGCCCCAGCUCCUGGAAAAGUUCUCGGCCGAGCCCGAGGCGGUGGCGGCGCUGCUGGAGCUGCUCCCGCACCUGGAGCUCGGAAUGUUCCGGACGGCGCGGCUCGACAAGGUGGGCACGGGACGGACCAGUAUAAACCAGUACAAACCAGUACAGACCGGUUCAGACCAGUACGGACCAGUAUAGACCAGUACAGACCGGUUCAAACCAGUACAGACCAGUAUAAACCAGUUCAGACCAGUCCAUCCCAGUCCAUCCCAGUCCAUCCCAGUCCAUCCCAGUUUCCAUUCCCAGGUUUUGGAUCGGGUUCUGGAGCGGAUCCUGGAGCUGUUCCGCUGCCACUCGGAGCCGGUUCCGGUUCCCCUGAUCCCAUCCCAGUCCAUCCCAGUCUAUCCCAGUCCAUCCCAGUUUAUCCCAGUCCAUCC
RNAcentral lists this long non-coding RNA (1197 nucleotides) under Cyanistes caeruleus (blue tit). RNAcentral describes it as "lncRNA (ENSCCEG00000019815.1)". The record is from RNAcentral. Lineage: Eukaryota; Metazoa; Chordata; Aves; Passeriformes; Paridae.